RNAcentral lists this ribosomal RNA (253 nucleotides) under uncultured bacterium. Its description in RNAcentral is "partial 16S ribosomal RNA". It matches the Rfam family "Bacterial small subunit ribosomal RNA", at positions 524 to 776 of the family's 1533-position model. The record is from RNAcentral.
UCCGGAGGAUGCGAUCGUUAUCCGGAUUCAUUGGGUUUAAAGGGUGCGUAGGCGGACUAAUAAGUCAGUGGUGAAAUUUUGCAGCUUAACUGUAAACGUGCCGUUGAUACUGUUAGUCUUGAGUAUGGUCAAGGUAGGCGGAAUGUGUAAUGUAGCGGUGAAAUGCUUAGAUAUUACACAGAACACCGAUUGCGAAGGCAGCUUACUGGGCCACCACUGACGCUGAUGCACGAAAGCGUGGGGAGAGAACAGG